Molecule: long non-coding RNA, 959 nt
Filed under: Homo sapiens (human)
Lineage: Eukaryota; Metazoa; Chordata; Mammalia; Primates; Hominidae
Description: non-protein coding lnc-POU3F3-7:11
Source: RNAcentral
AUUCGACAGUCCCCGCUCUGAGAGGGAGGGACAGAGAGCGAACUGUCAGAUCGGAGCGAGAGCGGGCGCCCGAGAGAGGGAGAGAGAGAGAGGGAGGGAGAGGAAAAGUGAGAGAGGGAAAGAGAGCGCGAACGAGGGCGCAGAGCGAGCUCCUGCUGCAACUCUGCUCCAGCACGGCCAGCGCCAGCGCCCGCCGUCGGUGCACUCUACGAGCCGUGCAGCGUGCCCACUGGAGUUGUUGUGUAUCAAGGAUCGAUCCCCUAUAUGCACACACACACCUCCACCUCCACCAAUGCACUCUUCUUCCUCCUCCUUCUCCAGACAACUGCUGGGAAAAAAAUAAAACACCAACCCCAACCGUCAGCAACAAGGUAACAGAGCGAUUCGACAUCAUUUUUUUUCCUGUUCAAUUUUUUCCUUGUUAUAUUUGUUUCCUAAUUUCUGCCCAAAAGGAAAGAUGUCGCAUCAGACUGUGACUGUUGCGAGGAGAAUGAAAAAGGACUCUUGUUUCAGAGGCAACCAAGAGCUCCGGCAAUAGCAACUUCAGAGAAAUGCACCAUCGCAAGAAGUUUUCCUAGGACAGAACAAAACUUGAAACGAGAGGACCAGAGGGGGAGAGCAGGAGCCAGCCUCCCCUCUCCGCACUCGCGAGCAGCCAGCAGCACCACGCCUUCAAGGACGAAAAAGUUUUACUACUCUAAGGGAAAACGAGUGAAAUGUGUUCCUGAGGAGGAGAGGAGAGGAGAGGAGAGAGCGGACAAGAGAAGGAGCGGGCCGGUUGCUGGUCAUCCGUAAUUUGGCUAAGGAAGAAAGGAGCAGCUUCUUUCUUUGUUAUCUCCCGUGAAACCUUCACUUAGCAGGUGGACGGAGCCCCGCGACCGGGCAGAGUCCGGGCUCGCCCGAGGACAGGAGGAGGAGCGGGAGCCCGCGCGUCCCGGGAGAGCGCCCCGAGUGCAGGU